UAUCCUGCAUUCAGAAUUUUACUGUUAGCCAACAUUCUAAUACGUGUGUCAAUGUGGUGAGCUCACUGGAUCCUCCUGCCAGUCACCUUUUAACUACGUAACUCUCACAGUUUCUCAGGGCUGCAGGCAGGAGGAACUUGCUGCAUGUCAGAUUUGAUGCUCCUGUGUCCCUUUCUUGAUUCUGAACAAAGAACAGAAAGUAUUGGUAUCCUUAUAUGGUUGGUAACUGAUAAGCAGAACUCUGCUCCACAUUUUCAAAAGAAGUGAUGUUGUCAUGACCUGCCCUCAGGGUUCCAGCAGGGCUUCUUGUCACUCUACAAGAUCCCAGGGAACUGAUAAGUUCAUUACGAUCUCUUAGGUGUGCAGGCUGCCUUUAUGCACUUAGGGGGUGGUUCAGCAUAGUGGGGUCCAGCAGGAGUUCUGGAGUUGACAAAACUGAGCAGAUUCUUACUUUCUUGUUUACUAGUUGUGGGUUAUGGUCAAGCGACGUGUUUAAUGCCCAUUUGUGCUCACAUCAACAUGUAUUUUUUCAACAGAAUUUCUCAAAUGAAAAUCAUUUCACAUUCUUCUCAGAGAAAUGUCACAGCGAAAGGAAGAUGACUGGGAAGGAGUGGAUGACUAGGAAGUGCUUUCCUUAAGAAACAGGCAAGGCUCUCAAGACUGGACAUGGAAGCCAAGGAGCAGUGGAGCUUAAUUCCCUUCCUUCUUGGCUCUAGUGACGCUCUUCUCAUGAACUGAAUGAAGCUUAAGUGAUAGCGUGUUUUAGGAAUAUUCUCCUUAAACAUAUUUACCUCUUACGCUCUCUGAAUCCAUUCUCCGUCAUACUGUGCCUGCCCACGUGGAGCCUGCAGACACUGCACCAGCUGCCCCCACAGUCAGCCUCUAGUGAAAGCCCAGUCUCCCGUACCUCCCACCGCCCCAACCUCCAACGACUCCGCCUGACACGGCAUCACCGCCACCUCUCAGCCUUCCAGUGUGCUUGCUGUCUUCCCUAUUCUGCGUCUUCAGUAAAUAGAAAAUAAGAUGCAUGAUGGAGCCUCAUGACAAUUAGAGGACAAGAAAGAGGAAAGACCUGUAAUUGAGAGGGCUUUUUGAUACAACAACAUUUCAAGAAGGAGCUUCUGCUACUUUUCACACUGAUCUUCUGACUGAUGAACUUUGUGUGGCCCAAUAAAGCCAAACUACUUGCCGAGGAGCAUAAGGUUGAUUCAAAUCAGCAUCAGAAUCCACAAUCCUCUCUCACUCUGGGACCAUUCCUUAGUGGCUGAGCCCCCACAGGAACUUCUUGAAUAUAAGUAUUUUCAUCCUAUUAACUCGUUAGAAUAGCUUUAAAUGCUUCCAGAGAACUGCUAUGAUUCUAUUCUAUUCUGACCCAACCUAAUUACUGUUUUGUUCCUUUGCAGUUUGAAUUGACUUGUUUUUUGCUCAGCUCUCCUUCUUCUUUACUUACUACGUAAUGUUGAUGAUUAACCUGAAGAUGAUAGUAUGUUUGUAAAAUGUUGGGAAAGCUGGCAAGAUUUCAAAUAUUCAAGUAUCAUGAAAAAAAGGAGAGAGAGAAUUCUUUCAUUUAUACGUUCUUUUGAAAGCAGACACACACAUCAACUGCUGAAUGCCUGAGGCGUCCGCAACUCAAGAGUGGAAGAGAUUUCAAGAAGCAGACAAGUCUGUGUGCACCUGUGCCAGCCAGCAAUCAGUCUCCCGUCACCCUGCCCUCCCCUCUAUGAGUGUGUUUAUAGGCAUGUGUGUGCGUACACACACAAGACACACACACAGAGGCAAAUACACAUAUUAUACAGAGAAAAUGUUCCUAAGUAUGCAUAAACUAAAUUUUUUCAACUCCAUUAUUCAUAUUUCAAUAUCUGUGAUAUUUGGAUAGGUUAAGCAAUGUGCACAUUUAUUUUUAUUUAUUUAUUUAUUUAUUUAGAGGAAGAGUAGCCCUGAGCUAACAGCUGCCAAUCCUCCUCUUUUUGCUGAGGAAGACUGGCCCUGAGCUCACAUCUGUGCCCAUCUCCCUCUACUUUAUAUUUGGAACGCCUACCACAGCAUGGCUUGCCAAGUGGUGCCAUGUCAGCACCUGGGAUCCGAACCAGCGAACCCUGGGCCACCGAAGCGGA
Molecule: long non-coding RNA, 2114 nt
Organism: Equus caballus (horse)
Lineage: Eukaryota; Metazoa; Chordata; Mammalia; Perissodactyla; Equidae
Source: Ensembl